Molecule: long non-coding RNA, 1136 nt
Organism: Aedes albopictus (Asian tiger mosquito)
Lineage: Eukaryota; Metazoa; Arthropoda; Insecta; Diptera; Culicidae
Exons: 2
Source: RefSeq, a predicted model, not a curated record
CAAAACCCGAUCCGUGGUAAUUGGACAGUAGUGCGAAAACCGAAAAUUAGUGUCGAAUUGACGACAUCGGACGUGCCGGUAACCAAGGACUAAAAGUGUAACUGACUUGCGCAGGAUUCAGCAUUAAGUAGACGCUUAGCCCAAUCCGUGGCGAAGCAAGAAACUAGUGACUAUCUCCAGCGAUCAUCAGGAACCAGGCUCUUGGAAACCAUCCCUCAACCCGUAGGUGAUUUGCGCCGCCCGACACGAAAACUGCAUCGGUGGGUUUCAACCCUUUAAGAGUGUCGAACCCUCGAAGAUGACACACAAACACCCGAUACUUUUUUGUCUUACAGUUAUGAUGUUUUUUAAUCCUAUUUACUCUGCUUACUUGGAAAUCCUUGAACUUAAUGAAAAUCCCGGUAUAGUUGCGUUCAAGACUAAUUCAGUCUUUAUAAAAGAAGGAUCUCACACACUAUUCCAUAGAUUUAAUUUAUUUUCCUUUACCGUCGUUCUCAAGCAGUAUGAAUCCAUUAUUUUGAACAUUGAAGAAAACCCAAAGAUAGCAGAACUAGUUAAAAUUCUUAAACAAAAGCAGAGUCAGGCUUAUUUUAUCCUUGAAAAUUUAACCGCUAGAAGUAGAAAAACAAAACGAUCUCUUAAUUUUCUUGGGUCUACCUUAAAAAUGAUUACAGGGAAUCUCGAUAAUGAAGAUUUGUUAAAAAUAGAAAACCAACUUGAAAUUCUUAAAAAUUCAAAUAACCUUUUAGUAACAGAGAAUAAUGAACAAAUUCAAAUUAAUAAAUUGUUUGAGGAAAGGAUUAACAAUAUUACUAAACAAGCUUAUAGACAGUCUAGGGAAAUAGAUAGCAUCAUUAAACAGACAAGACUGAGCUUAGACAGACCUGUCGAAUGGGAACAUCUCCUGCACCUACACAACAUCAUCUUCAACAUCGACAUGAUCAACCAGCAGCUGUCUACAAUUUUCGAGGCCAUUCAGUUGUCCAAGUUGGGUUUAAUUUCAAAGGCUUUCUUACAACCAUCAGAGCUAGAAUUUGCAACGAAUCUGUUGGAGUCACAAGGCGUUGUGAUUAACAGCUAUGACCAAGUUUAUGAGUUUUUGGAACCCAUAGCAUUCCACAAUAACUCAGACAUAA